UACUCAGCAUGGUCCACAGACCAGCAGCUUUGGUAUGAGCAGCUCCUUCCAUCCUUAGCCCCACCUCCAGAUCUUCUGAAUCAGGAUCUGCAUUGUAACACAGACCCAGUGAUUUGUGUCUUAAAAUUUGAGAAGCCCUAAAUUAGGGAACAGUGAUUCUGUUGCCCAUUUGCUGACCUUCACCAUCUGAAACCUUUAAGAAGAAAUAGCAGCCCCUGGAAAACAAAAAGGGGAGAAAAUCACUGCAAUUGUAAUCAUUAAUGGAAUCAUUGAGCAAGCCAUUGGCAUUGUUGCAGCAAAUUUCCUGUGGAUAACAUGGUACAGCCGUGCUUAAAGUUGGCUGGCAGAGCCUCUGGCUUGUUCUGACCCAAAUCAGCUGAUUAGUCUUGGUUAGUUAUUAGGCUUCAGUGGAAAGGAUAGAAAAGCCUUCAACAAGGGCCUCAACAAGGAAAGGCAGCUGUUUUUCAUAAACUGCUAUGAAUGAGCCUAACAGGGCCUCAUCCUUUAUAACCUGCUACCUCCUGCCUCUCCAUCAGCAGAGAAAAACUACUUCCGGCAAGGGUGACUCCUGAUCUGCCAAGAGUCGAAAGAAGAGCUCAGGCAUCUUUUUUUACUGUGGGACUAGAAUACAACCCAAAGAACUGCAGGUAAGAGAAAUAUCAAGACGCUACUUUCUCCAAAGAAAUUUGGAUCGAAAAUGAGAACACAGUGAAAAUGACUUAGAGAAAAUAACGCCACAGAUACAGCUAAAACGUGAAUGAAGCUGGAGGCAGCAGAGGACCACACACCAUGAAAUGUAAACAGAGGAGAAAAAAGCUCCAUGCCAGACAGGAAGAGAAGAACCAGAAGAGCAGUCUUUACAAAUAGAGAUACCAACAACUGGAUACUUUAAUACGUCUUCCACUGGACCUCACUCCUUAUCCCCAUACCUCCCUUUCCCAAAAACCUACCUACCUGAGCAUGGGUGGGAGUAGGAAGGACAAUUUUUCAACUCUCAGAUAAUUCCAAUGUGUUAAAGGAAAUGAACGUAAAACCUGUCACCAAGAACAAGUGGCCUCAGGAUACCCGUCUUCCACGACCUCUCAUACUAAAAUUCUGCUCCACAGAAAGCAGCUGCCCUCACUCAUUUGGAGUCUUCCAAUCUUUAAACAUUAUGCUCCCCCCAUUCCCCCAAAGGAAAAUAUUCAUCUUGGUUUCAAAAGGAUUCUUCAUUACCUCUGUAGCUACUAUUCCAUGAUUAUUCACUUCAUAUUUUGUUUUUAUGGAAUACCUACUAUAAAGAUAGUAAGAACUGAGAUGCAGGGAUGAAAUUCCAGAAGUCUCUGAGCUAAUCUGAUUCUGUACACACCAAAAGAACUAAGUACUACACUGUGUGUUACUGUGUAGAAUAGGAGUUUAGGAAAGAGAAGGGAAGAGGAGGUGAGGGGAGAAAGAGUACAGUCCAUAGUUAUAAAAACUGAGCACCAUGAGAAGAGAAUAACAAGGAGAUGGCUUAACUAGAAGGGAGAAACUGGGAGAGGUGGGGUGACCAGAAAAUUAGAGUGUGGUACUAACUAGAUGGAAAAUGGUCUUUUGAGACAGGCAGAGCAAAUUAAACACUAUAAAACAGGAAUACAUAGCAAAGGGGAUGAUUUAAAACUCUUUCCUUUUUUUUUUUUUUUUUUUUGUCUUUUG
Molecule: long non-coding RNA, 1674 nt
Organism: Sus scrofa (pig)
Lineage: Eukaryota; Metazoa; Chordata; Mammalia; Artiodactyla; Suidae
Source: RefSeq, a predicted model, not a curated record